AACGAACGCUGGCGGCGCGCCUAAUACAUGCAAGUCGAGCGAGAAGACGUAGCAAUACGUUUGUAAAGCGGCGAACGGGUGAGGAAUACAUGGGUAACCUACCCUCGAGUGGGGAAUAACUAGCCGAAGGUUAGCUAAUACCGCGUACGCUCCUUGGACUUCGGUUCAGGGAGGAAAGCGAUACCGUGGGUAGUCGCGCUCUUGGAUGGGCGUCAUGUCCUAUCAGCUUGUUGGUGGGGUGGANGGCCUACCAAGGCGACGACGGGUAGCCGGCCUGAGAGGGCGACCGGCCACACUGGGACUGAGACACGGCCCAGACUCCUACGGGAGGGCAGCAGUGGGGAAGUCUUGCGCAAUGGGCGAAAGCCUGACGCAGCGACGCCGCGUGAGGGAUGACGGCCU
RNAcentral lists this ribosomal RNA (402 nucleotides) under uncultured bacterium. Its description in RNAcentral is "bacterial SSU rRNA". It matches the Rfam family "Bacterial small subunit ribosomal RNA", at positions 28 to 417 of the family's 1533-position model. The record is from RNAcentral.